CAGUCGCCGCGGGAAUACGAAGGGGGCUAGCGUUGUUCGGAUUUACUGGGCGUAAAGGGUGCGUAGGCGGAUUGUUAAGUCAGGGGUGAAAUCCCGAGGCUCAACCUCGGAGUUGCCUUUGAUACUGGCGAUCUUGAGUCCGGGAGAGGUGAGUGGAACUGCGAGUGUAGAGGUGAAAUUCGUAGAUAUUCGCAAGAACACCGGUGGCGAAGGCGGCUCACUGGCUCGGAACUGACGCUGAGGCACGAAAGCGUGGGGAGCAAACAGGAUUAGAUACCCCAGUAGUCCCUGUCUCUUAUAC
RNAcentral lists this ribosomal RNA (301 nucleotides) under uncultured bacterium. RNAcentral's name for it is "partial 16S ribosomal RNA". It matches the Rfam family "Bacterial small subunit ribosomal RNA", at positions 509 to 807 of the family's 1533-position model. The record is from RNAcentral.